UUACAGGCGUGAGCCACCGCGCCCGGCCUGUUUGCUCUUCUUAUCUCAUUAAAGCCAGCCUGGCUUUCGUCUCACUGUCUCUUAGCUUCUGAAAGGUCUAAUUCACUGGCACUGAAGAGUGAGGGCAGGACCCGUUAAACUGGUACAAACGACACUUCUGAUCCUGUCCUUUCUGGGCUCAUUUCUGCACCACACAGACACUUUUCUCUGUAGGCCAUGGAAGAGCUGGUGGAUGAAGGGCUGGUGAAAGCUAUUGGCAUCUCCAACUUCAACCAUCUCCAGGUGGAGACGAUCUUAAACAAACCUGGCUUGAAGUAUAAGCCUGCAGUUAACCAGAUUGAGUGCCACCCAUAUCUCACUCAGGAGAAGUUAAUCCAGUACUGCCAGUCCAAAGGCAUCGUGGUGACCGCCUACAGCCCCCUCGGCUCUCCUGACAGGCCCUGGGCCAAGCCCGAGGACCCUUCUCUCCUGGAGGAUCCCAGGAUCAAGGCGAUCGCAGCCAAGCACAAUAAAACUACAGCCCAGGUACAGCCACUUCAGGUGUUCCUG
Molecule: small RNA, 549 nt
Filed under: Pan troglodytes (chimpanzee)
Lineage: Eukaryota; Metazoa; Chordata; Mammalia; Primates; Hominidae
Description: retained intron
Source: RNAcentral